GCUGCUUCUGUUUAUACCAAGAGGCUUUUCGUGUCGAACUUCGACUUCUGCUUCCACCUUUUGUCAUCACUCUCUUCCACUUUUUAAAUAUUUCUUUAGUUUCUAUAGCACCGAACUCCUUUAGAUUUCUGAUAAGAUUUCUUUCCCUCUGUCGCCUAACCGAAGUCCAGCCAACCCUUUCUCUGUUCAGGAAUUUCUAUACCUUCAAGCAUCACCCUUCGGC
RNAcentral lists this long non-coding RNA (223 nucleotides) under Elaeis guineensis (African oil palm). RNAcentral's name for it is "long non-coding RNA (EGUI_LNC060748)". Lineage: Eukaryota; Viridiplantae; Streptophyta; Magnoliopsida; Arecales; Arecaceae. The record is from RNAcentral.